Non-coding RNA from Zootermopsis nevadensis, 655 nucleotides. Lineage: Eukaryota; Metazoa; Arthropoda; Insecta; Blattodea; Termopsidae. The record is from RefSeq and is a predicted model, not a curated record.
GAAACUUACUCAAAUCAAUAUCUGACAACAGAGGAGCUCUCAUAAACUCAUCAGAACUGCUGUCUGAAGAUUCAAAUUUCUCUUUCCGACUUGAAUUAGGGGCUGUAUUCUCAAAAUUGUUUACUUCGCUUUGAGGUGAACGUGAACACCUCUUCAUGGAUCUUCGUAACAUCAUUCCAAUAUAAGAACUAAUAAUCACCCAUAGGCAAAAGCAAAACUUUCACAUACAAUCCUUGACAAUACAGUGGUAAUGUGUUAACUUUCUUCAAAAUACAAGUUCACAAAACAGUUCAUCCAUUGCAAAACCUGCAACUGUAAUUCGUACGCAUGAUGACAACAUAAUAAAAUAUUGUUUUCAUUUCAUUCAGAUGUAAAGUUUAGUUGUAGGCCACGUUGUUCAAACAACUUUCAAUCUUCCCAGACCAUUACAUGAGUCAAAUUCAAAAUAAGUAAAGUCACCCUCGAACAAAGAAGCACCUUCUAGAAAUGGCUCGCAAAAUACUAAUACCACCAAUGGAUUUGUACUGAAAAAUCAGCUGUAUAGUAUGGUAUGUAAAUUGACCUCAAAUUCAGAAAUAUUAGGAAACUUGAAAGUGUACACAUGUUCAUUUCGCGUACAGAACUGUACGAUUAAAAAUAUUAUUUCAUAACGUAA